GUAGGUCCAAAUACUCGAUCGUAUGCAUACGCAACCGACGGAUUAUGCUCACUCCGGACGAUUGUAUCCCCAUCCGCAUACCAAGCAAUCUCCUCGCCCUGCCGAAUCUCACGCUGGCUGAGCGGUCGGAACCGGACGGUGACAGUCACGCUCUCCUUGGAUCCCUCCGCGUCCAGCGCCGGGCUGUCCUCGUAGAAGGACCGCAUCUUGCUCGGCGCGGAGGACGCCGGCGAGCUCUGCCCGUCCGCCGACAAUGAUGCCG
RNAcentral lists this unclassified non-coding RNA (262 nucleotides) under Hevea brasiliensis (rubber tree). Lineage: Eukaryota; Viridiplantae; Streptophyta; Magnoliopsida; Malpighiales; Euphorbiaceae. The record is from RNAcentral.